AGUGAACGCUGGCGGUAGACCUAACACAUGCAAGUCGAACGGCAGCACAGUAAGAGCUUGCUCUUACGGGUGGCGAGUGGCGGACGGGUGAGGAAUACAUCGGAAUCUACUUUUUCGUGGGGGAUAACGUAGGGAAACUUACGCUAAUACCGCAUACGACCUACGGGUGAAAGCAGGGGAUCUUCGGACCUUGCGCGAUUGAAUGAGCCGAUGUCGGAUUAGCUAGUUGGCGGGGUAAAGGCCCACCAAGGCGACGAUCCGUAGCUGGUCUGAGAGGAUGAUCAGCCACACUGGAACUGAGACACGGUCCAGACUCCUACGGGAGGCAGCAGUGGGGAAUAUUGGACAAUGGGCGCAAGCCUGAUCCAGCCAUACCGCGUGGGUGAGGAAGGCCUUCGGGUUGUAAAGCCCUUUUGUUGGGAAAGAAAAGCAGCAGGUUAAUACCCCGCUGUUCUGACGGUACCCAAAGAAUAAGCACCGGCUAACUUCGUG
RNAcentral lists this ribosomal RNA (492 nucleotides) under uncultured bacterium. RNAcentral's name for it is "partial 16S ribosomal RNA". It matches the Rfam family "Bacterial small subunit ribosomal RNA", at positions 29 to 507 of the family's 1533-position model. The record is from RNAcentral.